This 960-nucleotide long non-coding RNA is filed under the name Coturnix japonica (Japanese quail). Its description in RNAcentral is "lncRNA (ENSCJPG00005008733.1)". Lineage: Eukaryota; Metazoa; Chordata; Aves; Galliformes; Phasianidae. The record is from RNAcentral.
UAGGGGAGAUCAUUCUGGAAUUUUCCCAGCAUUUUUUUCAGUGUUUUCCUCAGGUUUCGUAUGAUUCCCAAACCAAUAUUAUCCAGUUUUAGUUUUAAUUUUCCUGCAAACCCUGUCACUCAGGGAGAAGAGAUAAUUCAUAGCUGCUAUGUUCCUUAGUGUCUUUGCCAAUCAAAACAUGCAGAUUGCUGUUCUACAGGCAAUGCGGUUAUCAUGAUUCAAGACAUUUGGCUCCUUUGUGAGGUUCUUCUGGCUUAUAAAGGAAAAUUCACACCAAGGAAGAAGAAAACCAUCAGGGCAUUAAAUAUUUAUUUGAAAAUUUAAAUUUUUGGCUACAGAGAAGGGCCUAGGUAGAGUUCCACAUUUAACAAGAGGGCUUACUGAAACAAUGUCUACAGACAUAACUCUCGCAAUUUGCUGACAGAUUUGCUGAACACCUCUUUUUAAAAGAGAGAUAUAACUCAGUGUUAUGAAAGACCCUUAAAUAUAAACAAAUACCUUCUAAUUUUGGUUUGUAAGGUGAUGCUGGUGAAAUAGGAAAAAUGGAUUGCCAAUCAUAUGACUUAUAGUGAUGUGAUGAGGAAAUUAUUCACCUCUUAUUCAUUCAGACUCUGGGUAACAAGCUUGAAGUCAAAAGCAAUCAUCCAUAACAUGGCUAGAAGUGUGACCUGUCAUGUCUCACACAUAGAGAAUUUUUACAUUCAGAUGACUCAUUCUCUUUGGAUUGUUUUGCUUUGGACCAAAUCUUGCUCAUUUCAAAAGAAGCUGUGUUUGGAGAAUGAGCUCUAUGAUCUAGCCACAGUGUUGGCAGUUACAGCAGGUGCUAAGGACUCUACCUAUCACAGGACUAAAUAUGUCUGUCUUCAGACCCCCGCUGUGGAACUCAUCUGCAUUUAUGCAAUCUGUCAUCAAACUGGCAUGCAUGUUCAACAAAACACUGAAGGCAUUUUGACAUUUUGA